CUGCGCUCUUCCCUCAUCCCUAUGUAUUUUUAAAAACCUCAAUUUGUUUAAAAAUACAUAGGGAUGUGGAAAGAGCACAGGU
Pelobates cultripes (western spadefoot toad) is the source of this 82-nucleotide non-coding RNA. Lineage: Eukaryota; Metazoa; Chordata; Amphibia; Anura; Pelobatidae. The record is from the annotation of a GenBank genome assembly.